UGGGGAAUAUUGCACAAUGGGGGAAACCCUGAUGCAGCGACGCCGCGUGGAGGAAGAAGGUCUUCGGAUUGUAAACUCCUGUUGUUGAGGAAGAUAAUGACGGUACUCAACAAGGAAGUGACGGCUAACUACGUGCCAGCAGCCGCGGUAAAACGUAGGUCACAAGCGUUGUCCGGAAUUACUGGGUGUAAAGGGAGCGCAGGCGGGAAGACAAGUUGGAAGUGAAAUCCAUGGGCUCAACCCAUGAACUGCUUUCAAAACUGUUUUUCUUGAGUAGUGCAGAGGUAGGCGGAAUUCCCGGCGUAGCGGUGGAAUGCGUAGAUAUCGGGAGGAACACCAGUGGCGAAGGCGGCCUACUGGGCACCAACUGACGCUGAGGCUCGAAAGUGUGGGUAGCAAACAGGAUUAGAUACCCUGGUAGUCCACACUGUAAACGAUGAUUACUAGGUGUUGGAGGAUUGACCCCUUCAGUGCCGCAGUUAACACAAUAAGUAAUCCACCUGGGGAGUACGACCGCAAGGUUGAAACUCAAAGGAAUUGACGGGGGCCCGCACAAGCAGUGGAGUAUGUGGUUUAAUUCGACGCAACGCGAAGAACCUUACCAAGUCUUGACAUCCUGCGACGAUGCUGGAAACAGUACUUUCCUUCGGGACGCAGAGACAGGUGGUGCAUGGUUGUCGUCAGCUCGUGUCGUGAGAUGUUGGGUUAAGUCCCGCAACGAGCGCAACCCUUAUGGUCAGUUACUACGCAAGAGGACUCUGGCCAGACUGCCGUUGACAAAACGGAGGAAGGUGGGGAUGACGUCAAAUCAUCAUGCCCUUUAUGACUUGGGCUACACACGUACUACAAUGGCGUUAAACAAAGAGAAGCAAGACCGCGAGGUGGAGCAAAACUCAGAAACAACGUCCCAGUUCGGACUGCAGGCUGCAACUCGCCUGCACGAAGUCGGAAUUGCUAGUAAUCGCAGAUCAGCAUGCUGCGGUGAAUACGUUCCC
RNAcentral lists this ribosomal RNA (995 nucleotides) under uncultured bacterium. RNAcentral's name for it is "bacterial SSU rRNA". It matches the Rfam family "Bacterial small subunit ribosomal RNA", at positions 355 to 1375 of the family's 1533-position model. The record is from RNAcentral.